CCUACGGGAGGCAGCAGUGGGGAAUUUUGGACAAUGGGCGCAAGCCUGAUCCAGCAAUGCCGCGUGCAGGAUGAAGGCCUUCGGGUUGUAAACUGCUUUUGUACGGAGCGAAACGGUCUGCUUUAAUACAGUGGGCUAAUGACGGUACCGUAAGAAUAAGCACCGGCUAACUACGUGCCAGCAGCCGCGGUAAUACGUAGGGUGCGAGCGUUAAUCGGAAUUACUGGGCGUAAAGCGUGCGCAGGCGGUUAUAUAAGACAGAUGUGAAAUCCCCGGGCUCAACCUGGGACCUGCAUUUGUGACUGUAUAGCUAGAGUAUGGUAGAGGGGGGAUGGAAUUCCGCGUGUAGCAGUGAAAUGCGUAGAUAUGCGGAGGAACACCGAUGGCGAAGGCAAUCCCCUGGACCUGUACUGACGCUCAUGCACGAAAGCGUGGGGAGCAAACAGGAUUAGAUACCCUGGUAGUCCACGCCCUAAACGAUGUCAACUGGUUGUUGGGUCUUCACUGACUCAGUAACGAAGCUAACGCGUGAAGUUGACCGCCUGGGGAGUACGGCCGCGAAGGUUGAAACGUUAAAGGAAUUGACGG
This 588-nucleotide ribosomal RNA is filed under the name uncultured bacterium. RNAcentral describes it as "bacterial SSU rRNA". It matches the Rfam family "Bacterial small subunit ribosomal RNA", at positions 338 to 916 of the family's 1533-position model. The record is from RNAcentral.